CGUCGCCCGGCCACCCCGCGCCCGCCGCCGCCCGGCCACCCCGCGCCUCGCUGCCGCCCGGCCACUGCGCGCCUCCCCUCCGACGGGCUCGCCGGCCCCUCCCCGCGCGCCUCCCCUCCGACGAGCACCGGCCCCUCUUCGUCGACGGGCCCUGGCCCCUCCCUGUUCGCCUCCUCGCUGGCGUUUGCCGUCCCCUCCCCACGCUUCUUCCCGCGGGCGUUCGCCGGCCCCUACCCGCGAGUCUCCUAGCCAUCGGGCCCUCCCCGCUGCCAUCGAUGCCAACUGCUGCCCGCGAACGGGAUGGGUUCAAUGCCCGCUGCCGGGAUCCAGCGCCCCCCCAUCUCCCGAUUCACUGUCUGCCGCGCAUGGCGUCGCCCUUCCUUCCUUCCUCUUAAUCUUCUAUGCCAGCCGGCUGUGGCAUCCCAUGUGCUGCAGCUUCCAGCGUCGUCCUCUGCCUUGUCGGCGCACAAGCCGUUCGCCUCAGCCACCCCAGUCCGUUCACCAUUUCCAGCAGAGUCCGUUCAACACUAGCGUGCAGCUACCCGCCUCCUGGAUUCAGGGACGCAUUCAUGGCUUCAUUCAACAAGUGGACUGUGGGAAGAUGUUCAUCAACAAGUCUGCGGUAUUAAGUUUAGCUGCUAGUACAUAUUAUGGAUUUGGGGACAUGAGGGAGCGAGUGGUACAUGGAUCGAUUGGUGUAGUCUUUGUAGGUUGAGUAGAUUCUUCAAGAGUACUGAGGUUUCUUCAGGAGUACUGAAGAGCUUUAUUGUUCUUGGAAAAAUGAUAAUUAGCUAAAAAUGUUAGCUCUGUCAUUCCAUAAUUAUUGAUUAAUUGUUUGGUCUGAUUUCAAGGUACGGACAACAGGAAAGAAAUCUUGCAUCGUUUGCAUAUGGUACAUAGACAUGUUUCCCAUUCAGCCGCCAACUCCACGCUUAGUUCGUUAGCUGAUUAUAGGGAAAACAAAAGUUGGUAAGUUCAAAAUGUCCAGUCCUAUAAGUUCAUCUAAUCUAUGUAGGAUUUUGUACUAUGAGUUCAUCUACUCUAUGUGUUUGGGCAGUACAAAUAUGGCUACAGUAUAUUACUGCUAUGUAGAAUUUUGUCCUGUGAGUUCAUCUACUCUACUGUAUGAGUUCAUCUACUCUACAGUACAAGUUCAGCUAUGAGAAAGAAUUAGCAAAACUGAAAGAAAAAAUGAAUGUUACCAGAAUUGAAAGCAAAUGAUUUUUCAAACUUUUGGAUGAGAUCUUGCUCAGUUUUCUGGUUAAAAAAAAAGACAACAUGGAUUUACCAUGUUCUACCGGUGUUACUACUUUGUACUGAUCCUGGAAGCCUAUGAGCGGUACAUUUUCCUAAGCGGGUAAUGAUCGCAAACUCUUGGUUAUGAUGGAUUUUAAUAUAGAGCUAGGCCUUGUCACUGUGAAUUUAUUAUGCACCUGAUCCAAAUUCUUCUGAUGUUCUGGGCCUCUGGGGCAUGGGUCCAAUAUAUUAGUUUCUAUGCUCCACUGGUCCUCUCCACCACGAGCCCUAGUGUGGAUCACCUGCGGCGGCCAAAUCCCGGCGGGCCCAGCCACUGCUCGUGAACCCCGCCUCCAUCAGCUCCACUUCACCGGAGCCGUCAGUCCGCAGGAGUAGGGGUAGCAGGUUCACCCGACGUGCGACGCCUUCUUUCAUCUCCAAAAAUCUUGUUUAUUGAGUUCAGUUCUUCGUCGCAUGUUUCACUAGCUAAAAAAUGUAUGGUGUUCUGAAAUUGCUUGCGAACCACUAGCUGAAAAAAAUAAUCCCUCUUCUUGUAAGUUCUGGUCAGAGUUUAGACUAUACCAAAUGUCCAAAUUACAUGGUGUGGUCUUCUGUUCUUUCCGUUCAUUUCAAGUUAACUGUAGCUGAACAUGUGUUGUGUUGAUACUGAACUUGUGAUUUGUCUGAUUCUAAACUGAUGCGUAUCCAACAUUGGUGUUUAAACAAUUUUUGGUCCAUUGACUGUUUGAACUUGCAACCUUACUGCCUUGAACUAUGGUAUAAAAAAACUGAACUCAUGCAGGUACUUGGUGGUGCAGACUUGGUAGCGGUGAUAUUUUGGUUCGAUUACAUAUCAACAACAGUGCAAUGACUGAAAGAUCAUCAGUUCAAAAUAUAUAUGCAGGAGGAGGUUCAAAGAUUGUCGUGGAGCAAGUUAAAGAGUUUAGUACACCUGCGUCAGUCGGCCACCGUAGGAUGUAGCUACUACUCUCUCAAGUCAUAGGCUGCGGUUGCUACUUCUUUGUACUCGUAAUUUGUUAUUUCUUUGCAACCAGAUGUGACAGACGGAUGCAAGAGGCAAAGUGUCCUAUUUGUUAGAUGUUCAGUACAGAUUUUUCUCUAAGAAAAAACAACAUGAGGCAACAGUUUUGAAUGUGCUAGUUGUAAGUAACUUAGUUGUUAGAUGGUCAUUUCAGAUUUUUGUAGAUGCAACAACUAGUUUGUUUUCUUGUGCUAGUUGAACUGGUUUUCUUGUGCUAGUUGAACUGGUCUUGGUUCAGAUAUUUCUCUGAGAAAAAAGUAGCAAGAGGCGGCAGUAUUGAAUGAUCUUUGUUAGAUGUUCUGUAAAUAUUAUGGAAUUUUCUAUGGGACACACCUGAACUGAAGUUGUUACCUGAAAUGAAUGGUUCUACUUCUCCCACGGAAAAUGCCACCUUUGGUUUCAGGUUUCUUCAUUGUUGUAAGGCUUGUGAAAUUUAGAUAAUCUUACCACUGAGGUUGUGGUGCCUUUUUCUUUCAGCAAAAAUUCAGGUUGGGAAGCUUAUUUCUUCCAAAGUGAUUGUUUGGGUACUACAAGCUCCCACAGAGUGGAAGCGGUUGUUACAACAGGUUUGAAGUAGAUAUUACACAAGGUUUGAUUUUUCUAGACCAUGUACAAAAACAGUAGCAGUUCUAGUACUUAUGCAGUCGUCUGCCUUUUCUUAACUUUGUUUGAUUUUUCGUGAAAUAUAUAAAACCCAGUAGCAGUACUAUUACUUAUUGUACAACAGGUCAUUGACUAAAACUAUAUCAGUUUAGCACAUGUACUUACAAAAACAAAUCAACAGGUUUGUAGGUUUUUUUCAGCUCAUCUUGUUGGCUUUUUUGGUUCAUACUGCAGGCUUGUAGGAUUAGAUUCUCAUGUUUGUUUCAAUAUUAGGGAGAAGUAGAACCAUUCAUUUCUUGUAUAUUUAUUGUUAUUGUAGUAUUAUGGAGUAUGUGAUCAGCUCAUGCAGUAUAUACUAAGUAUGCACAAAAUGUCUGUACGGUACUUUACAUACAAAAAACUUGCUUUCUCUAGACCAUGCAAGAUUCCUCAAAGGAGCUCAUGUCGAACGAGUGCUUUACAUACAAAUGAGCGCAAUGAUGGGCCAUUAGCUUAAUUUCGCGCACACGACAUCUUUGGUCGCGUGGCCGGCACCAUUAUCUUAAAUAUUUGUUUCUG
Molecule: ribosomal RNA, 3439 nt
Filed under: Triticum aestivum (bread wheat)
Lineage: Eukaryota; Viridiplantae; Streptophyta; Magnoliopsida; Poales; Poaceae
Description: partial small subunit ribosomal RNA
Source: RNAcentral